This 301-nucleotide ribosomal RNA is filed under the name uncultured bacterium. Its description in RNAcentral is "partial 16S ribosomal RNA". It matches the Rfam family "Bacterial small subunit ribosomal RNA", at positions 509 to 807 of the family's 1533-position model. The record is from RNAcentral.
CAGUCGCCGCGGUAAUACCGAGGGUGCAAGCGUUAAUCGGAAUUACUGGGCGUAAAGCGCGCGUAGGUGGUUUGUUAAGUUGGAUGUGAAAUCCCCGGGCUCAACCUGGGAACUGCAUCCAAAACUGGCAGGCUAGAGUAGGGCAGAGGGUGGUGGAAUUUCCUGUGUAGCGGUGAAAUGCGUAGAUAUAGGAAGGAACACCAGUGGCGAAGGCGACCACCUGGGCUCAUACUGACACUGAGGUGCGAAAGCGUGGGGAGCAAACAGGAUUAGAUACCCCUGUAGUCCCUGUCUCUUAUAC